Non-coding RNA from Beta vulgaris subsp. vulgaris (sugar beet), 106 nucleotides. The record is from Rfam. NCBI's taxonomy places the organism in Eukaryota, Viridiplantae, Streptophyta, Magnoliopsida, Caryophyllales, Amaranthaceae.
AAGGGAAAGCGAUAUUGGUGAGGUUCAAUCCGAAGACGGAUCUUACUGAAGUAGAGUUUUAAGAUACGAUCUCAGAUUGAGCCGCGCCAAUAUCACUUUCUUUUUC